RNAcentral lists this long non-coding RNA (1689 nucleotides) under Homo sapiens (human). Its description in RNAcentral is "HSALNT0232371". Lineage: Eukaryota; Metazoa; Chordata; Mammalia; Primates; Hominidae. The record is from RNAcentral.
UAUGGGAUAAGGCAAUUGCCAACAAAGCUUAAUUUAUUUGUUCAUUCUUUAUUUCAUGCAUUUAUUUUCUCAAGAAGCAUUUGUCAAGUGUCUCCUACAUGCCAGAUACUUUGUCAGUUGCUGGAGAUAUAAAGCCAAAAGACACAAGGUCGCAGGGUCCAUGAUAGGCAGAUGGGGAGCACCAGAACAGACUCGGUGUCAAUCAGGGAAAGCUGUCACCAGCAGGUGACAUGAGAUAAGUUUUCAAGAAAGAUAAGCAUUGCAGAGAGGAGUUGGGUAGGAGGAAGUUGCUGCCAAGACCUGCAUCGUUUGCCCCUGAGUCACCAAGGAUCACAAUGCUCAUGGCUGAUAAUUAUGAAAUUAAAAGCAGCAGGGGAUUGGGGAUUUUAGGAAAAGGAGGUAUCCUCAGUGGUGGUACAGGAGCAGAUGCUGCUUAGAGAAGAGAAAGCAAACAGAGGCAAAGCCCUCCUGGGCCCAGUGCCUGCAGUGUGGUGGAAGACUGAGAUCUGUUAAAGAGGGGGAAAAGAAAACUUUAAAAGCUGGAGGCAAGACUCAGAGUGAAGGCUUAAUUGAGGAAGCAGGCAUUUUGGGUUCACACAAAUAAGCAAAUAGAAUCCCCUUGGCCCCUCCUGGUCAUCUGUGAGUUUUGACAGGGUUCAUGCAAAGACAAUGAUGAGUACAUCAUAACACCGCAUGGCCAACAGUAAUUAUAAGACAACAUCAAUUAUACAGCUCAGCCUAAUUUUGAGAUAUUAAUGAAUGAAAAACUGUGCAUCUUGAAAUUGAUGAAUGGUAGUACUUUAUGGAAUUGUUCUUAGAAUGAAAGCAUGACUUUCUUGAAAAGCCUCUAGGGUAGUACCUUGCAUAUGGUGGAAACUAGAAUUACGGUUUUUCUUUUCUUUUUCUUUUCUCCCAGCCUGUAAAUGUUAUCUCUGAUAGUAAGUCUCCUGACUACAAUGAGUAGCUGAUGGAUGGGAAGGGGGGUUCCAAUACACAGAAUGAGCAUCUAAUGGGGAAUGGGAAAAAACUAGAGGUCAUAUGAAGCCCUGUGUUUCUCAGUAUACAUCUACAGUGACCACAUAACUUAUUAUCCAAACCAGGACAAUUUUGAAAGUAAAAGAAGUUGCUUUUAAUAAUUUAACUGGAACCAGGGACAUAAACUGGGGCCAACCCAGAUGAGCCAUAUAUAAAAACCUACAAAAGUCCAUCUUCCAUCUGGCAAGUACAACUGAAAUCAGAUGCAAAUUUCUCUAUGCUUAGACUUGGAGUGUCUUCGUCCAAAACCUGGAAGGCCAUGAGACAAAUGAUGGGCACGCAGGUACUCUUGGCUCCCAUCCCAAGAAGGCUUAACAAACACUAUAUUCCAAAAUUGGUUAAAGUUCGAUGCCACCGUGUUGUGGGAGAUGUUCCCCUUCCUCAGCUGUUAUUUAUGGUGCAGAGAAAAGGAACCACAUUGAUGAUGGACAGUUCUGGAGGCUGUAAAGUCCAAAGGCAUGCACCAACAUCUACUCAGCAUCCAAUGAAGGUCUUCUUGCUACAUUGUCCCCCAGCACAAGGUGGAAGGGCAAGAGAGCAUGCAGGCACAUGCUUGAUAACCUGUGAUAUUUGGACAAAUUCUCCUUUCUGCUUCCUUCUUUGAGGCUUCUCAACGGCAUCUUCUCCUUGAUUGAGACCAAAGACAGAAUAAUA